GCUUCUAUCACUUUCAUUUGUUUGACAUGCUUGUUAUCAGAGAAAGGAAGAAAAGUCAAGCGUACAGAGAGAGAGAGAGAAGGAGAGAGAAACCACAGUGCUGGAGUUUCCUGUUAUGGUAGCAAUCUCAUCUCGUGCUGGCCCUCAAACCCAGGUUUUGCACAUGGGAAAAGACAUGCUAUCAGCUACCAGGUUCCAGAGGCCAGCAGGAUGCCAACCAGACUUCCCUAGACAGACAACCCCACCAAUGUGUCCUGGAGCUCCGCUUCCCCAGAGACCCACCUUACUAGGGAAAGAGAGAGGCAGACUGGUAGUAUGGAUCAACCAGUCAAUGCCCAUGUUCAACGGAGCAAUUACAGAAGCCAGA
Erinaceus europaeus (western European hedgehog) is the source of this 367-nucleotide long non-coding RNA. RefSeq lists it as uncharacterized. Lineage: Eukaryota; Metazoa; Chordata; Mammalia; Eulipotyphla; Erinaceidae. The record is from RefSeq and is a predicted model, not a curated record. The transcript has 3 exons.